CCUACGGGAGGCAGCAGUGAGGAAUAUUGGUCAAUGGACGAGAGUCUGAACCAGCCAAGUAGCGUGAAGGAUGACUGCCCUAUGGGUUGUAAACUUCUUUUAUAUGGGAAUAAAACGUUCCACGUGUGGGAUUUUGUAUGUACCAUAUGAAUAAGGAUCGGCUAACUCCGUGCCAGCAGCCGCGGUAAUACGGAGGAUCCGAGCGUUAUCCGGAUUUAUUGGGUUUAAAGGGAGCGUAGGUGGAUUGUUAAGUCAGUGGUGAAAGUUUGCGGCUCAACCGUAAAAUUGCAGUUGAAACUGGCAGUCUUGAGUACAGUAGAGGUGGGCGGAAUUCGUGGUGUAGCGGUGAAAUGCUUAGAUAUCACGAAGAACUCCGAUUGCGAAGGCAGUUCACUGGACUGCAACUGACACUGAGGCUCGAAAGUGUGGGUAUCAAACAGGAUUAGAUACCCUUGUAGUC
This 460-nucleotide ribosomal RNA is filed under the name uncultured bacterium. RNAcentral describes it as "partial 16S ribosomal RNA". It matches the Rfam family "Bacterial small subunit ribosomal RNA", at positions 338 to 795 of the family's 1533-position model. The record is from RNAcentral.